UGCCAGACUCCUACGGGAGGCAGCAGUGGGGAAUAUUGGGCAAUGGGCGCAAGCCUGACCCAGCAACGCCGCGUGAAGGAAGAAGGAUUUCGGGUUGUAAACUUCUUUUAAGAGGGAAGAGCAGAAGACGGUACCUCUUGAAUAAGCUCCGGCUAACUACGUGCCAGCAGCCGCGGCAAUACGUAGGGAGCGAGCGUUGUCCGGAUUUGCUGGGUGUAAAGGGCGUGCAGCCGGGAGUACAAGUCAGAUGUGAAAUCCCGCGGCUCAACCGCGGAACUGCACCUGAAACUGUAUUUCUUGAGUACUGGAGAGGCAGACGGAAUUCCUAGUGUAGCGGUGAAAUGCGUAGAUAUUAGGAGGAACGCCAGUGGCGAAGGCGGUCUGCUGGACAGCAACUGACGGUGAGGCGCGAAAGCGUGGGGAGCAAACAGGAUUAGAUACCCCCGUAA
RNAcentral lists this ribosomal RNA (449 nucleotides) under uncultured bacterium. Its description in RNAcentral is "bacterial SSU rRNA". It matches the Rfam family "Bacterial small subunit ribosomal RNA", at positions 329 to 793 of the family's 1533-position model. The record is from RNAcentral.